This 12743-nucleotide long non-coding RNA is filed under the name Elaeis guineensis (African oil palm). Its description in RNAcentral is "long non-coding RNA (EGUI_LNC052155)". The record is from RNAcentral. Lineage: Eukaryota; Viridiplantae; Streptophyta; Magnoliopsida; Arecales; Arecaceae.
UCCUCCUAUAACUUAUUAACUCUUAGUAAGUCCUCAAUAUAACUUACAUUUAAGUUCAAUCAUCAAUCAAAUUGAUAAUUAAGAUCACUUACAAUUUAUGAUUUCAAAUCAUGAUUCAACGAUUUGAUUAGCCAAGACCUUUUUUAUGUGUGACCCCAUAAAUUCUAUUAUGUCUGGUAGUGAGAAAUAUUUUAAUCUCCAUCAAAAUAUCAUUGAAACUUCUUUCAAUGGAUUGAAAUAAUUUCAACUCACCAAUCGAGAAUUAUUGACCAUCAAAAUAAUUCUCGUUGGUCCCACAAUCCACCAAUGAUGCCUAGCAGCAGUAGUGGCAACCCAACAGAACAGAAAGACGAACAUGUAGGUGUAGUUACCGUGUGAUUCAGUUCUUCUAUCGUGAGUUCCGACAAGAUGGAGGUUAUUGAAAAUUCGCCAAACUCCAACGUCUAUCAUAUGUAAGAUUUAAUUAGCUCAAAUUUAAAUCGUGAAAUCUCAUGAAAACCCUUUUCCAUAAUUUACUAUGCCAUGGCCACAGUCUUAUGAACUUGAUUUCAUAAAUUAUAUAGGACUACUCCUUAACUACUAAAAUCAAUAGAUCCCUUCUAAGUGUGCAUCCUACUUCUACAGCGAAUCUACUGUAGCCAAUAUACACAGCGAGGACCCAAAUGACUAGAAGAUCAAGUUUAUGUGCAAUCAAAUUACAGCAACCUCACUGUGAAUAGUCGAGGCACUGCAGGUGUAAGAACCACUCAUACAACUACAGCAUAGAGAAUGUCACUGACAAAUGAGUAGAUAUCCAAAUGACUUCUCAUAUUGGUCACGCUCAGUACAGUUGUUCUCUAACAACCAUCUGCACUCUUGCUCCAGUAUCUCCAUACUGUAGACUCGAGACUCAUCUAUCUUAAGAAAAAUGAUCCAUACACCGAUCAGAUCAAUCACCGUCUCUGUGAUGAUCCAUCGAUCGGAAGCAAUUUAGAAAUUAACCAUCAAUGACACAUGUCUCAAAUUCUCAAUUCUUGAGAAUAUGUAUCAUCAUCUUGUUAAUUUUCUGGAUGAUUAAUGGACACAUACACUACAUGAAUGGAAUUUACUGUAUUAAUUAAUUAGGUUGAGUAUAAAAUUAUAUUCUAGAAAGAAUUAAUGGAUCGGCCUGAUUGGCUUUUAGCGCAUACAACUAACACAAAUGACAUGCAACCUAGAAUCAGGGAAAGAGUUGAUAACUGAGGGGGCAACAACUUAGUAUUGCCCCCGGUCAUCCUCUCACAUGCUGUCCAUCUCUUCAUUUAAGAUCAGCUUUCUCUAUGUUCUACAGCAGAGUUGAAGGUAUAACAAGAAGUUCCCGACUAGGCAUUGCACCUUCACAAGGAAAGAAUCAAAUACAAGAGGAAGAAGAAAAAAGAAUAUAGACUAGAUGAGGCUUGAUGAUAUUUUAGGCUAAAUUUAGUAGAAUAAGUUGAUCAUACGAGAGAUUUUCCUUUAUAGAGGUCAUUUUCUCUUAUAGAGCUUAUUUUCUUGCUUGCUACAUGUAAGGCAGCUUCCAGUUUUGACAGAAAAAGAACUCCUUUUAGGUUACAAAGCAUUUAGAUUUAACUUGCUUACUUCUGAUUCUGUAGAGAACUUAUAUUUAAAGACAUACUUGGACACUAUGAUGUUUGGAGAUGGGUUUAAGGACAGGAUGCUCUUGGGAUCAUCUAAGUAAGAUCGUCAUUUAGGAAGCAGGGAUUGGACUUACUCCUGUGCAGAAUCGUUCUGUAAUCUUCUGCCUGGUAGUUUUGGAGUGAGCAAAUUAGGUCCAUAUCACAGGUAAGAAGUUGAACAGAAAUUCCAUUCAAAGAAUCACUGCAGAUGUUCCAAUCAGUUGCACAUCUAUAAAUUCAGAACAUAGAGUUCAGCUGAAUUGCACAGGAAGUUAGAAUUGUUCUAUUAACCAGCUCCUUAUCCCUAUUCAUGGUUGGAUUGAAUUAAAGAGUGAUGGAUCUAACAGCCUCGACCAAUCUAGCCAAAGAGGACUUCCAGGAGGAACGUCAAUUCUUUUUUUAUUCUAUUCAACUAAUGGUUCAAUGAAGCAGAAUCUGGCUUGAACUGAACUUCGAAACAAAGUUGGGUGGCUAGAUUUUAGUUUUAAAUCUUCAUGAAAGUUGAAACAUCUUCUAAUGAAAGUUCAGAGCACAGCUUUUUUGGAUGAUUCUAGAGAGUCACAUAUUUGGAUAUGAGGAAAUCAAGCUGCUGAUCUUCUUCCCAGGACACACCCUAUCAUAUACAGAUGAUGAUAAGUUUCUUUUCUUCCCUGCUUUAUCUUCCAUGUACUCUUGAAGAUAAAAAACUGUGCAAGUGUACAUUAGGUAAUAAGGCAUGUAAUCCUGCAUAAAAGCAACUACAAAUUUAAUUUAGCUUUCAGAUAAAGAGUAAUGUGGUACUCAAUUUACACUAUUCUUAGUCACAUAUGCAAAAAUUCAUUCCUAUACAAUAACUGGCCAACUAGAUCCACCAAUAUUGAACAACUUAUGCUUGAAACAGCAAGCUAAUCUAAAAACUCACAUUUAGAGCCAAAAAACAACAAAUAAUGCUUGGGUGAGAUUGUUGUAAAUAGUGUGCCCAUGUAUUGAUUAUGAAACAAACUUUGUUUUAUGAAGUGCAAAUCAACAUUUUGUCAUUAUUUUUAUCUUCUGCCCCAUAAUCCCGUGCAUCACUGGCUACUAGUACAGAAAAAAAGAAAACCAUCCAAAAGCAAUAUAAUGUAUCUUCUUUGUAGUCACAAAUCCUGAUUAAAAUAAAAAAAAAAAAUCUAAACCCUAUUAAGGCCAGUAGCAUCUCUAGGAAAAACACAUUUGCGGGGAAUUCCAGCAGACCAGGGCCUUGAACAAGUGGAUGACAUCAAGCUUCUGCUAAUAUUCAUUUCCCAACUGAUUUGAAAAGAAAUUUACACUACACUCCACUUUGCUACAUAUAAUUGUUGCAGCUGGCAAAAGGCAUGUAAUUUCAUUUACGUAUCAUGUAGCAAGAGAUCACAUGGCAUGAUGUGAAAAUUGGUGUCAGCAAUGACCAUGAACUUGAUCAGCAAGCACUGUCACAUCUAUAUGCAUCACUUUAUGAUCCAUGCAAUAAUUCAUCAAAAUUUGAGAAAGUUUGAUGGCCAGCCCUCAGCUGGAUACCAACCCCCUAAACUAGAACAAAGUUUCAAGCUAACAACAACUCUAGGUAAAAGUAUGGCUAAGAUGAAACAUAAAAGGUUAGCAGGACAAAAGGACAGAAUUUAAGCUUUUCAGGAAAAGAAGCAAUCCUCUAAGGUUCUCGUAUACUUGGAAAGAGCCUAUGCAAAAAGAAGAUAAGGCAAGCUUCAAUAGAGGAAAUCAAAUUCAUCACCGAGGCACAAAGUAUAUACUGAAGUGCCAAAUUGCAGCAUAAUCAUGUCGAUAUUAUGCAGAACCAAAUUCUAUAAAUCCAAGACUGCAAAAUGCCAGGCAAUAUAUUGGACCAGUUAGUGCAGGCACAAUAUGCAGAACAGAGGUGAAGUUCUUUACAAGAAUACCUUAAUCUUUAAUAGUUUAAAAUAACAACGAAAAUAACUUUCAGGAACUUUACGGUUACUUAUCUGCAUCAAAAGGAUGCCAAAUAACAUUAAAAUGAUUGGUAAAUCUUCUGUUGUUUUCAUUAAUAAAUGCAACAGAAAUUAAGUAGAGCAGGAAAAGCCCGCAAGCAAAUCAGUUAAAUAAGACAAGACUCCAUAGUUAAUUCAACUCCAAGAAAAUCAACCAGACGAUACACAACAACAACAAUUACAUAGAAGAAAUGGCCUAUUAGGAAAAGUUCAGAAUCUUUAAGAAGCAGAGCUUUGCCAUCCGAUAUGUGUUUACAAAGAAGAGCCAAACAGCAUAGCCACACAGAAUAAUACUAUCUAUCUCAUGCAAACUAUGGAUAUGAUAAGACUAGGGUCUCUUUAGCAUAUGCUUCCACAGGAAGUAAGAAAAACAACUAAGGAUGACGGCAUAAUGUUUACCGAAUAUCCGACAAUGAACAGAGCAAUACAACCCAUCACAAGGAAAAUGCGAUUACCAACCAAUUGACAAUGGGAAGAAGAAACAUAAAAGUUUAUUCUCAAAAUCAAGUAGGUAAACAGCAACAAUUAUGCAGUUUGGAGGGAAGAUGUUCACAGAACAGUAACCAAACAACAAAACAACAUCGAAACGAGAUGAAUUAUACCCACAAGCACGCAUUCCAAUCAAUCUUUAUCUCCUUACACCGAAAUAUAGAUCAAACCAACAAAAUCUAUCUAUGAACUGAUCAGACAAUAAAGCAACAAAUAUAUAUAUAUAUAUAUAUAUAAAGAAGAUUGGAAAUCUGCAGUUACAAAAUUCUUUACCAGCAUCCGCCCGGUUACAUGGCCAUACAAGUUUCCCUGCUUGAUCCGAGCAUAUGGCCAAGGGAGCAACACCAUCAUGAUCACGCCCCAGACGAUGGUGGUAACCAUCAACGACAGAAAGCAAGCAACAAUCCUAACGACCGACAGGACGACAGUAAUCCAUCUAUCAUCAUCCACAAAGUCAGCCGUGUCGGCCAGCCGGCGACUCGGUUGCCCGGCCGCAUCUUUCGGUGGGGGAAUCGGUGGCCCCAUCGAUCCGAAGCUCGCUUUGAAGCAGCUCUCCAGCCGCCGACCCAGCAAGAACGAACUUGCCCCAGAAGCACCCAUAGCACUAUCCCCCACUUCCCACCUCUAAUACCACUAGCAAGAAAAGCAAACGAGGACUAAGAUAUACUGGAUAUACUGAGAUUAGAAAUAUAUAUAGAUUAUUGAAAGGCUGGUGAAGAGUGCAGAAUUUGAAAAAGUUUUAACUCAAUAUAUUGUGAUGGUACCAUGAAAGAGGUUUGAAGGUUCCGAGUAGGGAACUUGCGAAUAGGUCGGAAUCGGAAUCCAGCAAAGAAUAAAUUCUGUGGGUUCUUCGUGGAGAGAGAAGAAAGAGAAGAUUCUGGAGUGCAGAGCAAAUAGAGAAGAAGAGUAAAGAAUAGUGAUGGGUGGUUUCUAAGGAGAGAGGGUCUGCCGCCGUGGUUGUCUUCGCUAGGAAGGCAUGGUUUUCAAGGGAAUAGUCUUAAGAUCUGAAAAAUUUUAGAUGCAUGCAUCCUAGAAACAACUAAACCUAUAUAUAGAGCCUCCAGCUGGCGCAUAGGGACCACAUAGACAUGGGCCAGAGAUUUGAAUGUCACAAGAAUUGCUCUUGAGAUGGAGAAAUUAUUGUCUGGAUCACGCCCAGAUAGACCAGGCAAAUCCCACGGUGCAUAACACGCCACAUUAUCCUUAUUUUUUACACGGAUCUCCGAUUGUACGUUAUUCAUUGUUUAUGUGCUUCGAGAUUUGUGCUAGUCUACGGGGUUCAGGCUAUAAGUGCUCGUUGAGAUGGGAGUUUCAAGGACACCGAGACCCACGAAAGAGGAGAGGGUCCGAGAUUUAUGACGGGCCCUCGUGGCAGGCAGUGAUUGACUGGCUGCGUGGCGAGCGAUUGACACCAUAUAGAUGAGUGGUAUAAUGGACUUAAAAUCCGUGGGACCAACUUAUUGGACCGCUGAAGUGGCACACAUUUUUGAGCUUGGUUUUGACCUACAAGCCAAACGGAAAGUAGGCGCGGAAAGGGACAGCAAUCUUAUUACCCAGGGAAAGAUGGCGGUCUCUUUGAAACACGUGGAUCGCCUCGUUCGUUCGCACAAACGAACCACUGUUGCGUCUGAUGCAUGGGUUGUUGAUAAACUUUGGGCUGCUGGUAAGAAAACUGUUACGAUCUGAUGCAUGGGUGGUUGGAAACUUGGGACUUCGGCUGAUGGGAAUUGCGGCUGUGUGCCUGCGGGUCGGGGGUGAAUGUGCAGAUAGACGAAUGGCGUUCAGAGAUUUAGGCGGUGGGUAAUCCCACGGUGAUUCGUACGAAGGAAGAUGAUUCAUACGAAGACACAACCCCAACCCAUGCGCCUACUAGCGUCCGGCCUAUGCAUCGGACGUGCUUACAAAAAAAAAUGUACCAGGUGGAUGGCUACGAUGCCAUCGUGUAUCAUCCACAUGAUUUGAUCUAAUUUUUUUAACCAUAAAUCUUAUUUAUAUAAUAAUAAAAAAAAUAAUCGAAUAUUAAGAUAAUAUUUUCUAUUAAUAUAUUAGAUUAUUGGAUAAUCUCCAACGUACCACGUGCUCCUGCCAAACUAACGUAAGAGUAACCUAAUUCGCUCUUCCCCACGAUCGCCUUCCUUCCCACCUUCAGAGAAAAAAAAGGAAAAAAAAAUCUCUUCUCUGCGAUCUCUCUCUCUCCGGAGGAGGAGGAGGAGGAGAGACGUCGCUGACAUUCGUCGUAUCUGUGACCCUUGAAGAGCUCGAGAGCGAGAAAGAGAGAGAGCGAGGGAGAGAGGGACCAUGCGCUCUUUGGGGUCUCGCCUUGACGUCCAUAGCGGCAGCAAGGCCAACGCCAUCGCUGGCUUCUUCUCCACGUCCACCAUCGUCGAGGCUGCCAUCGUCGUGCUUCUCUUGAAAAGCUUCUCGCGGGACAAGCGGCCGUCGAAGGUGAAGAAGAUCUGGAGGAUGUCAUCGGCCGUACUCUCCAUCCGGCCCAGCAUCUUGGCGAUGUGGCGGACGGCGGCAAGCAACGUGGCUUAAGGGAGAGGGGAAAAAGGCGCUCCGACGAGCAGCACUCGGGACAGUGCUUCCCCUAGCUGAACUACGUCCGCUCACCCGAGCAGCGCUCUGCCAACAGCGGAAGGAGCUUUCGCCCGAAGAGCGCUCUGCCGACGCGACGGUGCGGGAGCUGCUGGAGGCCAGGGCGGAUGCAGUGGCGGUGGACGGGCGGGGGAGAACGGUGCUGGAGUUGGCGAGGGAGGUGCUGGCGGUGACGCCGAUGGUGGCGCUGGGGAGGCGGGCGGGGGUGGCGACGGCGGCUGAGCUGGAGGGGGCGGUAUACGAGUGGGCAGACGUGGAAAGGGUGGUGGAGGAGAGGGGGAAGGGGAAGAGGAGGGAGUACUUGCUGGAGUGUAAGGAUGGAAGGAGGGAGUGGGUGAGGAAGGAGUGGGUCGUGGGAUUGGGGAGAUCCUGGAGAUGGAGGCUUCUGCGUAUUUUGGGAAGGAAGGGGAACGGCGUUGGGCUGGGGAGAGAGAGGAGGUUAAGGGGAAGAAGGACUAGUGGAUGGCGCGGGAGUUGUCGAUGCUGGCACAGAGCAGGGGAGAAUAAGAGGAUAUGAGGCGGCGGAUGUGGACGUCGUCAAAGCCAUGGAUUCACUGUGGAUCUGAGGGCGGUAAGGUGUUUGGAGGCUCUGAUGGCAUUGUCUUUGGGGAAGCCGUAAGAGGUGAUGAGGUACUCCACUAUGAAAUUGGGCUUGGGAGGUCGGUCCUCCCCCAAGGAGGAGGUGGCGGCGGCGGCGGAGAUGGAAGGAGGGGAGGAGGGACGCUGAAGGAGUGAUCUUAGGGAAAGGGAGGGGGUAAAAGAGGAGGGAGGACUUGAACGCCAACAUGCUUGAAGAGUUGGAGAGGGAGAGGGAGAGCUCUCGUGAGGCCUUGGCGGGGCUUUGGAGGACGUCUCUGGUCGGACUUGCUUCAAAAAUCAUUACAUAGAAAUGUUCAUUUGCCCAUCUGCCGCUUAAGGAAAAAUAGAAUCUAUAACAGAGAAAAAAAAACUCUCCCAUGCCAGCGUUGUGGACAAGCUGAUUCUUUUUAGAUGGAAUCAGGUUUGUAAUUUACAUCUAUGAUGACUUCAAACCACCGAUCUAACCUAAAUUGAUAGGGGGAAAGUAGAAAUUCAAACUCAAGCACAUGAUGCAAUUUAUGAACCAUACGAAGAAAUGAUCGUAUAUCCGAUCAAUCAGAUCAGGAUGCAGCAAAAUUUUAAAAAUUUUUGAUUCGAUGUGCGAUCCGAUUGAAAUCCGAUUUCGAUCGUGACCAGAUCGAUCAUACAUCUAGAUUAAGAGAAAAAUAAAGAUUUAAACAAUUUAAAUCAGAAUAUAAGAUGAUCACAUCAUCUUGUGUGAAUAGAUAAACAUCACAGUCCAAUGAUCGUGGAGUUUUGAGGUUCGCUGUUGAGCCGCGCAUGUGUCCGGCCUCUAUAGGUAUUCAUUCGGGCUUGGACUAGGAUGUUCUCUCCAUCUUCGAUCCGUCUACUCCUAGAUGGAUCUGCAAGCUCCUGGAUCAGCUUCAAAUCUGAUCUUUGAUAGGAUUCCGAUCAGUAUUUGAUCGCAGUUUUUUUAUUCCUUCAUGUAGUUUGGAUGGAAUUCAACACCUUGAGAUCACCAGAUGGCCGUCCAAUACCUUUGGACAUGGGAGAGGAUGUGAGAUCAGAGAGAAGAAGGGAGAUGGCAUGGAGAAGAGCAGAGGAGACGUAGAGAUUUUUUUAUGAUCAGCACUAGUAUCAAACGAUUUAACAGGAUACCUUUUUAUAGACAUUUGAUCGGAUCAAAUGUCUUAAAGUAGGACUCUGUUUGAUACCGCACAUCCUGAUUUUUCCCUUAUUUUGUCACACAAAACCAUCGAGGAAUUCAGAUGGGGUGAGUGCCAUGGAUAAGGUUGUUGUCAUCCAAAUCAAUCCUCCCACAUUUCAAAUUCAAAUACUUCAAAUUUGAAUCUCAAUUCAAAUCUAAAUUUAAAUUCAGAUAUAACCAUAUCAUUCUUAUCCUCAUCAGCAAGAGGAUGGGGUUUAUCCUCUUCUCUCCCCCUCCCUUAUCUCCAAGUGGUGCAUGCCCCUUGAUCUUAUCCAUAUGGGGCGUCCCACCCUUUCUGCGAAGAAAAGUCACGAUGAAAAAUGUGGGGCGCCAACUAUUGGCACCUCUCCCAUCUUUUAAUUAUUACAUAGAAGACUUGCUUUAGGGAAUCUAACUCUUAUUAUCCAAAAUAAGCUUGCUUAGUUUUGGUCAAGCCCUAUCUAAUAAGAAACCCAAAUCAAAUAGGAGAGAAUGAAUUUAACCAUAUGCUAGCAUAGUUUUCUUAAAUUCAAAAUUAAGAUUUAAUUAAUCCUAAUCCAAUCAGAUUAUACUUAACCCAAUUGUACAAUCUUAGAUCAAAAUAUUUAUUUUGAUGACCCCAUAGGUUCGAUUCUGUCUGAUAAUGAGAUAUGUUAUGAUCUCUAUCAGUAAAAUUAUCGAAAUUCUUUUUGAUAGAUCGAAACUCUUUUCAAUUCAAUCAAUUAGAAUUAUUGAUCAUCGACAUAAUUCUAAUUGGUCCCACAAUCCAUCAGUGACAUCUAGUAGUAUAUUGUGGCAAUCUAGCAGAACUGAAUGAUGAAUCUCUAAGUACAGUUACCGUAUAAUUCGAUUUCUCUAUCAUGAGUUUCAACAAGAUAUAGGUUAAAGAUAACUCGUCAAAUCUGAUUCUUGUCAUAUAUUAGAAUCAAUUGACUCAAUUUUAAUGUGAAACCUAAUAGAAACACCUUUCUAUUUUUUCACAUUGCCAUGGUCAUGGACUUUAGGACUCAAUCUUAUGAUCUACAUAGAAUUAUUUCUCAUCUAUCGAGAUCGAUAGAUCAUAUCUUAAUGUAUAUUCUAUUCCUACAGUGAGUCUAUUGCAGUCAAUUACACCUCAGAUUUCAUGUGACUAAAAAAUCGAGCUAUGGUAUAGUCAAACUACAGCAACCUUAUUGUAAACAGUCGAGAUACCGCAAGUCAAAGAACUAGUCACACUAUUGCAAUAUCGAAUUAGUCACGGAUGAGUACGUAGACAUUCUAGUGGCUAUUCGUGUUUGGUUAUGCUUAGUACCAUUAUUUCCUAACAAACACUUGCACUCUCACUCUGGUAUCUCUACACUGUAGAUUUAAGACUCAUCUAUCCUGAGGAAGCGAUUGUGUACCAAUCUCUUUAGAUCAAAUACUAUCUCCAUAAUGAUCUUAUGAUCGAAAGCAAUUUAUAAAUUAAUUAUAAUGACCUAUGUCUCAAAUUUUCAACCCUUGAGAAUAUGUAUUAUUAUUUUCAUUAACUCAAAGGACGAUUCAUAGCACUUAAAGCACAAAUAUGAAUAGAAAUAAACCCAACUUUAUUAAUUUAUAAGUCAAUAUUAUAAAAUAUGUCCUAAGAAAAUUUUAUAAGUGUUGGUCAAUCUGACUUUUAGGACAUACAUCUAACAAUCUCUCACUUGAUCUAAAGCCAAUUGACUACAAAUCUAAGUUCCAUCUUCUCAAGGUAGGCUUCAAUCUUUUGUUGGCUUAAUUGCUUCAUCAGUGGAUCAACUACAUUAUUUGCAGUAUCGAUUCUCUUCACCUCGACGUAUCCCUUCUCGAGAUAAUCGUAGAUAAGAUGGAAUCAUCACUCGAUGUACUUGGAUUUUUGAUGAGACCUCGACUCCUUAGUGAGAGCUAUGGCUGUCAGAUAUAUAUUCUAGAAGCUAAUUAUUGACUGACACAUUAUUCAUUCUAUAAUACAAAUUUAUACUUAAACUAUUGAUUUAAUUAAUGAAGGAUAAGUUUUCUUUUUCCAUUCAAGUAUUAUGUGUCCUUGGAUCAUCCUUGGAAUUAAUGUUAUAAUACAUAUUCUCAAGUAUUGAAAAUUAAGAUCAUGUAUGAUCGAUUUCUAAAUUACUUCUGAUCAUAGGAUAGUCAUUGGGACGGUGAUCGAUCUAGAUAGAUCAGGACAUGGUUCACUUUCUUUGGGGUAGAUGAGUUUCUAGUUUACGGUGUAGAGACACUAAACGACAAGUACAGAUAGUUGUUAGAGAAUAACUAAUACUGAGCGUGACCAUAUAAAAGAUCACAUGAAUUUCUAUUCAAUCGUCAGUGAUCAUCUCGAUGCAGUAGUUGUGUGACUAGUCCUUUAAUCUGUGAUGUCACAGGUUCUCAUAGUAAGAUUGCUAUAGUUUGACUACAUAUAAAUAUUGACUCAAUUAUGAAUUUUUAUAGUGGAUGUUGGCUUCAAUUAAUUGAGAUGUGGAAGUAACGUGUGCAUCUAGAUGAGAUCUAUCAACUUUGAUAGAGAGGAGUAUGUUAGGUGAGUGUCCUAGAAGCCAAUUAUUGAUUGACAUAUUUUAUAAUUUCAGAGCUUAACUUUGUACUUGUAAUAUUUUUACCAUUAAUAAAAGGAUAUUUUUAUUUCUAAUCAUGUUUAUAUGUCCAUGAUUUAUCCUAAAAAUUAAUAAAGAUGAUUUUUAUAUAUUCUCAAGAUGUUGAGAAUUUGAGACGUACAUUAUUAGUGGUUAGUUUCUAAAUAUUCUCGAUUAAAGGAUCGUCAUGGAGGAUAGUGACAAUCCAUUUAAGAUCAAUGCACGGAUCACCUUUCUUCUGGAUAGAUGAGUCUCGGAUCUGCAGUAUAGAGAUACUGAGAUGAGAGUAUAGAUGGUUGUUAGAGAACAACUUACACUGAGCGUGACCAACACGAAAAAUCACUUGGAUGACUACUCACUCAUCAAUGGUUGUCUCGAUGCUGCAGUGGUGUUAGUGGUCCUUUGACCUGAGGUGUCAUCGGCUAUUUGCAACAAGAUUAUUGAGUUUGACUACACAUUCUUUUGGUUCCUGACCAUUCGGAUCCUUAUUGUGUAUGUUGGUUUUAUUAAAUUCAGGUUCGUUGUUAGGAGUAGCAUGCACGUAGAUAGAAUCUAUUGAUCUUGAUAAAAAAGAAAAAGUCUUAUGUAACUUGCGAGAUUGAGUUCAGAAAAUUUUUGGCCAAAACAAGAGUGAAUACUAAAAAAGAGUUUUCAAAAAAUUCACAAGUAAACUCGAGUCGAGACAUUCUUGUAUAUGACUAAUGAUAAGAUUUGAUGAGUUCUCCAUGAUCUCCGUCAAGUCAGAACUCACGAUAGAAAGACUGAAUCAUACGAUAACUGUACCUAGGAGUUCAUUAUUUUAUUUACUAGAUUAUCACUAUAUAUUGUUAAGUAUCACUAGUAGAUUGUGGGACUCAUUGGACGUCAUCUUGAUGAUCGAUGACCCUCGGAGGGUAGAGUUGGAAUUGUUCCAACCCAUUAAAAGGAGUUUCGAUGAUAUUAUGAUGGAGAUCACAAUAUAUCUCACUACUAAAUAAAAUGAAAUAUAUGAGAUCACACACAAAAGAGGUUCUUGUCUGAUCAGAUGUUAAUUAAUGAUUAUAAAUCAUUAAAGGAUAUAAUUAUUAAUAUGAUUGAUGAUUAAUCUCAUACAAAUAUUGUAAUUAUAUAAUUCACUAAGUGUUAGUGAAUUAUAGAAAGAUUAAUUAGCAACUGAAUUACUAAUUGACUCAAUUUGAUUGAGCAAUGAGGUUCGGAUUAAGUCUAAUUGAAUUGGAUUCAUUUUGACUUAGAUUGGAUUUGAUUGGAUCAAGCCUAAUUGCGAGAAAAAUUAAUUUUUGAUUUGAUCAAGAUUUGGAUUUAGUUAAUUCCUAAUUAGAUUAGAAUUUGAUUAAGUGGAUUGGGUUUCUAAUUUGAUUAGAUUUCAUUAUCUAUUUGGAUCAAACUAAAUCUAAUUUGGUUUAAACCAAAAUAGGAAACCCUAGAGUCCCAUCUCCCUAAGACUCUUUCUCCCCUUGCAUGUCCUAGGUUUCAUGCCAAGAAACCUCAUGCAAAAAAGAUUUUUGCAUUGAGGUAUUUGCAUGAAAGAGAGGAUGGCACAAGAAGGGGGGACGGCACAUGGUUAUGACUCAUCAUCCUUAUCCAUUCCAUAUUUGAAUUUGAUUCAAAUCUUGUGAUAAGGAUUAGAUGGAAAGAGAUCAAGGGAUAAUGAAAAACUUUUGUGGCGCCACCCUAUCUUUUUUCAUAUUGAGAAAGAGUUGUGAGUGAGAAGAAAUCAGAUCUGAUUUCUUCUCAUGCCAUUCCCAUCUUUGGUGCAUAAAGGUGGAUGCCC